ACCCUAUGUUUUAUGUUUUCACAAUGCUCUUUUUUCCUGCUAACGUCAUUCACAUCUUCAGGUGAACACCUUUGAGUUCAGCCAAUCUCACAGAAGGACCCAGCCUCUAGGGCUGUCUUGUCAAUCUCACAGAAGGACCCAGCCUCUAGGGCUGUCUUGUCAAUCUCACAGAAGGACCCAGCCUCUAGGGGCUGUCUUGUCAAUCUCACAGAAGGACCCAGCUUCUAGGGCUGUCUUGUCAAUCUCACAGAAGGACCCAGCCUCUAGGGCUGUCUUGUCAAUCUCACAGAAGGACCCAGCCUCUAGGGCUGUCUUGUCAAGUUCUCUUUACUCAGUGGUUUGGCUCUUAAGGAAUGAUCAGAACAGACAACAUUGAUAUCCUCCUACUCUUUCUGCUUGUUGUCUGCAAGGACUUCAAGGAAAUCUUGUCAGAUACCUUGCAUAGUCUGUCAGGUUCGUGACACAUCCAGAUGCUUGUGAUUUCCUGGAGCCCAGAAGCUCUUUGGGACACCCAAAUAGCCCGGCAUUGUCUAUGUGCCCAUGGACGUGGGCUGCCUGUGGAGCCUUUAACUGUGGCUACACCUACACCAACAGCAAAUGGCUGUCCCUUCCCUGCAUCCUUCAGCCAUCGGUGGCUGCUCAGCCACUAGCAGCUGACAUCUGGGCUUUUCUUUUUUAGGUUUUGGGACAGGAGCCAAUGUAGCCCAGACAGGCUCCAAACUGGCCAUGCAGCAAAGUUCUGGGAUUACAUGUGUGCUACCAGAGCUAGAGUAAAUGCCUUUUCUAGAUAUCCGUUUGUCAUGAGAGGGCCUGGCGUGUAGACCAGGCAGCAGCACUCAUGUGUGCUCCUGCUUCCUAAUUUCUAUUGUGGAUUGUUUUACGUCCACUUCUAACAUUAAUUUUUUCAUUUUAUAUAUUUUUUGUUCUUAGCAACUUUUCCUAUAAAAUUGGGAGAUUAUAUGCUCUUUGUAAUUAGCUUAAAUUUUUCUUUGAGAACAGUUAUUCUUUAAUCGAAUACGUUAGCUUUAAUGAACUCCACUCCAUUUUUUUCCUCAAGACAUCUUCCCCUUACGCUGUAACUUUUGAUUCAAAAUCCAGAUUCUUUAAGCAACACAGUAAAGCGAAUAGUAAAGAUAGGAACUAUUUCUCUCAUUUUUGUGUUCAAGAAUUCUUGUUUCCUGAAUGUUUUCUUAUGGCGUGUUUUCCUACCCAUGAGGCAUCAGGGUUUCCCAGCAGCCAGAGCAUUUAGAAGCCUGAUGGCACUCAGUGCAUGCGGCAGGCUGUCAGGCCAUGGCCCCGUGACUGAAGGUGGAGAGCUGGGGUGAGGAGUGCAUUCAUUGGCUCAUGACACUGCUGUUCAGGACCAACAGCAGGUUCCCCUGGAUUUCCUCAAAGUGACAUCACCUGGCACACAAUCUCUGGCCACCAGUGAUCUCUACUUCAUUCUGCAAUGCAUUUUGUUGCCUCCUCUCAUGCCCACACUCCUUAACUUAGCUCUCACUUCUCCAUAAAGUCAGUGAGCUACACCUACCCUCUCUAAAGGCCCAGGUUACCCCACCUCUUCUCACACACCUACAUGAAGAGUCCCUGAAGGUGGGCCUGGAAUCUUGCUUAUGCAAAUAGGAACCAAUAUUCUCAUCCCAUGGAGACAAAUCAAGCACAAAUACAGGGAUAACCUAAGUAAUCAUACAGUAUCCUGCCACAAAACUAGUGUGCUGGAAUGAAACCACAGAGUCUCCAUGAUCUCCCUGGAGGUGAGAGAGGCUAAGCCAUAAGAAUGUUCCUGAGGGGGUUGGGGAUUUAGCUCAGUGGUAGAGC
RNAcentral lists this long non-coding RNA (1818 nucleotides) under Rattus norvegicus (Norway rat). Its description in RNAcentral is "long non-coding RNA NONRATT020304". The record is from RNAcentral. Lineage: Eukaryota; Metazoa; Chordata; Mammalia; Rodentia; Muridae.